GUGCUGACUUCAGCAGCACAUAUACUAAAAUUGGAACAAUACAGAGAAGAUUAGCAAGGCCCCUGUGCAAGGAUGACAUGCAAAUUCCUGAAGCGUUCCAUAUUUUU
RNAcentral lists this small nuclear RNA (107 nucleotides) under Naja naja (Indian cobra). Lineage: Eukaryota; Metazoa; Chordata; Lepidosauria; Squamata; Elapidae. The record is from RNAcentral.